Molecule: RNA transcript, 1560 nt
Organism: Lycium barbarum (goji berry)
Lineage: Eukaryota; Viridiplantae; Streptophyta; Magnoliopsida; Solanales; Solanaceae
Exons: 4
Source: RefSeq, a predicted model, not a curated record
UUAGGGCAACAAAUGAGAGUGAGUCGUGGACAGUACCACGCUUUACAAAUAUAUGUUGUAUAACGUGGAUCAAUCCACGUUAUACCGUUUAAAUUAUUUUUUUUUUAAUUUUUCGGUGAUCAGAUCUGACAAUUGAAAAAAAAAAUUGGGGUAUAAUGUGGACCAGUCCACGUUAUACCCGUUUUGGUAUGUAAAUUUUUGGCUACCCCUUUUGAUUUAUAUCGUGUAUUUUUAUACCUUUUAGGCUCCGGACUCUAUAUCUAUCCCUCCUGGGGUUAGGGGGGCAGCUAUGGAGAUGCAGGCUGAAGCAGAACGUAAAAAAAGGGCUCAAGUUCUUGAGUCAGAAGGAGAGAGGCAGGCAAAUAUAAACAUCGCUGAUGGGAGGAAGAGCUCGGUGAUCCUUGCCUCCGAAGCUGCAAAGAUGGAUCAGGUCAACAGAGCACAAGGUGAAGCUGAAGCCAUACUCUCAAGAGCACAAGCUACAGCAAAAGGAAUUGCCUUAGGUGCCGUUUGACCAUAAAAAUUAUUCACUUUUUUCCGGAAUUUUUUUUCACUUUUUUAACUUUUGGGUGUUUGGCCAAACACAACUCCAACUUCAAAAAUUCCAAAAAAAAGUGAAUUUGUUUUUGUUAUCUAUGGCCAAACGCCUACUUAGUGUCAUGAACGCUUAAAGAGCAUGGAGGUGCAGAGGUGAAAUCCUUGAAUUCAUGCCCAAAGUCUUGUUCCUAUGACAUGUAACAAGAUUUUGGAGAAAGAUAUGCUUCACUAAAUACAUCAACUUGGAUUUGUAAUAUUACCUUUGAUUGCAUUGAUCUAUUGGACUUUGUAGGCAGCAAGCUUGAGGAUUGCAGAGCAGUACAUCCAAGCUUUCAGUAACAUUGCAAAGGAGGGCACAACACUGUUACUUCCUAUAAAUGCUUCUGAUCCUGCCAGUAUGGUGGCUCAAGCUAUAUAUAUAUAUAUAUAUACACAUACACAAAAACUUAACGAGCAAGAACGCAAGGGUUGAGCUUCCAGAGGCCUCUCAAGCUGAACUGAAGCAGAUUGAUUCAUAUGCAGUAAUCAAUAAUGACCACUCAAUUUUGGAUGAAUAUACUGAUGAAGAUGACGAGAAGGAUCGCUAAUUGCUUUGUCAGACUCAUCUAUAGAGUAGCUUUAUUUUUUUACUUGGCCAUUAGGGAUUAUUUAGCUUUACAUACAUCUAUAGUCUGAGUAGCUCUGGUCAAUGAUAGGAUGCCUAUUCUUUUCACAUGGCCGGACUUGCUUCCACACCAUUGUUCCGGUGAUUGUGUAGCUGAGAAUGGAUGCAAAAUUACAGGGUUUCGAGAACUUUGUUCCAGCUCUUUCUGAUAAGCUUUUGACAUCUGAUUUUUGCAUUUUAUACUUGAGAAAAUAUACUAAGCAAAGUAUCAGGAAACAUAAGAAGAAAACCAAGCUUUUCAACUUAUACCUAUGAAAACGAAAGAAUCGUCUGAUUAAUCCCUCAAGUGUACCUCCCUCAUAUGAUUGUGAGAAAAUACUUGCAUCAUUUAAUGGUGGUUGACAUGAGAGCUUAUCAUG